This 454-nucleotide long non-coding RNA is filed under the name Brassica napus (rape). RNAcentral's name for it is "long non-coding RNA (BNAP_LNC019647)". The record is from RNAcentral. Lineage: Eukaryota; Viridiplantae; Streptophyta; Magnoliopsida; Brassicales; Brassicaceae.
UUUUUGUUUGUUCAUCACUCCAUUUCCCACUCUAUUUUGCAGUAAAUUAUGGAGUGGGGUUGGAGAUGCUCUAACUUUUAAUGCACUAGAAGACUUAUUCUGGAAGACUUCUGGCGGAGUCUUCUCCUAUGUCUGCUCUUUUAUUUCAGAUCUGAGUGUUUUGGUAAGUUUAUAUGUUUGAUUUUUUUUAUUUGAUAACUUUUGUUUGCUUAAAGCUCUUAUCCUUUUCACAUUUUAUCAUUUUUUGUAGGGUUAAAGACCUAUUUCCACACCAUAACUAUCAUAUAGUAACAAAUACACACAAACUUUCAUCCUCGUCAUAAUUGAACAUAACUUAACUAUCUCAACCUAUUACCCCGAUUCGAAAGAUCAAAACCCGAAUCCACCUGAACUAUAAUGACCGAUCUAAAACCACCACAAAGUGGUUUACUGUUGGUUAACUAGCUGUUGGUUA